UACGUAGGUGGCAAGCGUUAUCCAGAAUUAUUGGGCGUAAAGCGCGCGCAGGUGGUUUCUUAAGUCUGAUGUGAAAGCCCACGGCUCAACCGUGGAGGGUCAUUGGAAACUGGGAGACUUGAGUGCAGAAGAGGAAAGUGGAAUUCCAUGUGUAGCGGUGAAAUGCGUAGAGAUAUGGAGGAACACCAGUGGCGAAGGCGACUUUCUGGUCUGUAACUGACACUGAGGCGCGAAAGCGUGGGGAGCAAACAGG
Molecule: ribosomal RNA, 253 nt
Filed under: uncultured bacterium
Lineage: Bacteria
Description: partial 16S ribosomal RNA
Rfam family: Bacterial small subunit ribosomal RNA
Source: RNAcentral